RNAcentral lists this ribosomal RNA (465 nucleotides) under uncultured bacterium. RNAcentral describes it as "partial 16S ribosomal RNA". It matches the Rfam family "Bacterial small subunit ribosomal RNA", at positions 28 to 507 of the family's 1533-position model. The record is from RNAcentral.
GACGAACGCUGGCGGCGUGCUUAACACAUGCAAGUCGAACGGAAAGGCCCUGCUUGCAGGGUACUCGAGUGGCGAACGGGUGAGUAACACGUGGGUGAUCUGCCCUGCACUUCGGGAUAAGCCUGGGAAACUGGGUCUAAUACCGGAUAGGAGCCAUUUUUAGUGUGAUGGUUGGAAAGUUUUUUCGGUGUAGGAUGAGCUCGCGGCCUAUCAGCUUGUUGGUGGGGUAAUGGCCUACCAAGGCGGCGACGGGUAGCCGGCCUGAGAGGGUGGACGGCCACAUUGGGACUGAGAUACGGCCCAGACUCCGACGGGAGGCAGAAGUGGGGAAGAUUGCACAAUGGGCGCAAGCCUGAUGCAGAGACGCCGCGUGGGGGAUGACGGUCUUCGGGUUGUAAACUCCUUUCGCUAGGGACGAAGCUUUUUGUGACGGUACCUAGAGAAGAAGCACCGGCUAACUACGUG